RNAcentral lists this ribosomal RNA (717 nucleotides) under uncultured Bacteroidales bacterium. Its description in RNAcentral is "bacterial SSU rRNA". It matches the Rfam family "Bacterial small subunit ribosomal RNA", at positions 35 to 744 of the family's 1533-position model. The record is from RNAcentral. Lineage: Bacteria; Pseudomonadati; Bacteroidota; Bacteroidia; Bacteroidales.
GCUAGCUACAGGCUUAACACAUGCAAGUCGAGGGGCAGCAUUUUUAUAGCAAUAUAAAAGAUGGCGACCGGCGCACGGGUGAGUAACACGUAUCCAACCUGCCGAUAACUCGGGGAUAACCCUUCGAAAGAAGGCCUAAUACCCGAUGGCAUAUCCCUUCCGCCUGGUGGGGAUAUUAAAGAACUUCGGUUAUCGAUGGGGAUGCGUUCCAUUAGCUUGUUGGCGGGGUAACGGCCCACCAAGGCUUCGAUGGAUAGGGGUUCUGAGAGGAAGGUCCCCCACAUUGGAACUGAGACACGGUCCAAACUCCUACGGGAGGCAGCAGUGAGGAAUAUUGGUCAAUGGACGAGAGUCUGAACCAGCCAAGUAGCGUGAAGGAUGAAGGUCCUAUGGAUUGUAAACUUCUUUUAUACGGGAAUAAAGUGCAGUAUGCAUACUGUUUUGUAUGUACCGUAUGAAUAAGGAUCGGCUAACUCCGUGCCAGCAGCCGCGGUAAUACGGAGGAUCCGAGCGUUAUCCGGAUUUAUUGGGUUUAAAGGGAGCGUAGGCGGAUGCUUAAGUCAGUUGUGAAAGUUUGCGGCUCAACCGUAAAAUUGCAGUUGAUACUGGGCGUCUUGAGUACAGUAGAGGCAGGCGGAAUUCGUGGUGUAGCGGUGAAAUGCUUAGAUAUCACGAAGAACUCCGAUUGCGAAGGCAGCCUGCUGGACUGUCACUGAC